GCGUCGCUAUGGGUACAGUUGCCUAGCAACCGCUAAAACCUACUACCUCCCCUUCCUUCUCACUGCGUUGUAAGUUAAUUGGCCUGUGUUGGUUGGUUGGUUGGUUGGUUGGUUGCUGUGGCGAUAUUGCCUGUGAUGGUUGCCAUUAGCAGUUUGGUUUUUUUAUUUCUUUUUUGGGGUUUUUUUGGGCCGUUGCCUUGAUUCACCAUGCUCAACUGCAUGGCGGGUUACUGUGGCGACCAUGAACUGUGUUUGGUGUGCUGAAAGUGUUCAAUCAAGAAAAACCACUUGGGAUGUCCCAGCCUUUUUUGGUUGUUUGACCAACCGUAUAGCACAGGAGCAACACUUCACAUAAAGCAGUAUCACGUGUAUGCGCUUUACAAAAACAAACAGCAGCAGCAGCAGCAGCAGUAAUAUCAGCAACAAACGCAUCGACUGAAUCAGCAUCCGCAAUAUGAGAAGUGCUCCCGAGUUCCUAUCAUUCCACAGCUGGAUUCAUUUAUAUAUGUACAUAUCUAUUGUCGGCAACAAGAUAUACAUGUUAAGAAAAAGCAUAUCACUGAUGUUAUUCUACUGAACAGGGUUCUACUGUAUAGUGUGAUUUGUGGUCUGCGGCGUUAACAGAAGGCCAGUCUACACAGUCGGAGGCAAAAGAAAAUACUACUCUGUAUGAUUACCAUUGGUAAUAUUGUUAUGUAGAGUUAGUUUUAUUAUUUAUAUGUAAAUUUAAAAACAAUGGGGGUACUUAAGCUGGAAGAGAAAUGGAUUUCCUCUCACUGUAAAUACUUUGGUUUAAAAAAAAAAAAGAAAAAAGGAGGACUCUAAAACUUCACCAGUUAACAUUCUCUGCUGCCACAACUUUUAAAAAUUAACAAAGCGGAAGGAAGGGCUGGGAAUUUUUCUAUCUUGAUUUUUUACGUUUUAAUUUAUUUGGUAAUCAAUUUGACGGCGGGGGACAUGUGACAAUUUCUUUUUUAAUUUAAGAAGAAGAAGAAGAAGAAAAAAAACAGGAUUCCUGUGGUCUUCAUGAUGAUGAACACUACUGCUAUUAUAGAGUUUUUAAUUACAUAAAUGUACCUAUGGAAGUGGAAAAAAAACGUUUCUUUAUUUAUUCUCUACAAUCGCUGUUUUAAAACAUAUGUCUUUAAAAGAAAAUAAAGUACAAUUUAGAAGAAA
Oreochromis aureus is the source of this 1176-nucleotide long non-coding RNA. Lineage: Eukaryota; Metazoa; Chordata; Actinopteri; Cichliformes; Cichlidae. The record is from Ensembl.